RNAcentral lists this ribosomal RNA (496 nucleotides) under uncultured bacterium. RNAcentral describes it as "partial 16S ribosomal RNA". It matches the Rfam family "Bacterial small subunit ribosomal RNA", at positions 29 to 507 of the family's 1533-position model. The record is from RNAcentral.
AACGAACGCUGGCGGCGCGUCUUAAGCAUGCAAGUCGAACGGCAAGAGAGGAGCUUGCUUCUCUCCUAGAGUGGCGGACUGGUGAGGAACACGUGGGUAAUCUACCCUUAAGAUGGGGAUAGCUGCUAGAAAUAGCAGGUAAUACCGAAUACACUCGGCAUAUCACAAGAGGUGUUGAGGAAAGGAAGCUACGGCUUCGCUUGAGGAUGAGCUUGCGUCCUAUUAGAUAGUUGGUGAGGUAAAGGCCCACCAAGGCGACGAUGGGUAUCCGGCCUGAGCGGGUGGACGGACGCAUGGGAGCUGAGAUACGGCCCAAAGUCCUGCGGGAGGCAGCAGAUAAGAAUAGUCCGCAAUGGACGGGAGUCUGACGGAGCGACGCGGCGUGGAUGAAGAAGGCUGAAAAGUUGUGAAAUCCUUUUGUUGAUGAAGAAUAGGGGUGAGAGGGAAUGCUCAUCUGAUGACGGUAAUCGACGAAUAAGCCCCGGCUAACUACGUG